This 492-nucleotide ribosomal RNA is filed under the name uncultured bacterium. RNAcentral's name for it is "partial 16S ribosomal RNA". It matches the Rfam family "Bacterial small subunit ribosomal RNA", at positions 29 to 507 of the family's 1533-position model. The record is from RNAcentral.
AGUGAACGCUGGCGGUAGGCCUAACACAUGCAAGUCGAACGGCAGCACAGUAAGAGCUUGCUCUUACGGGUGGCGAGUGGCGGACGGGUGAGGAAUACAUCGGAAUCUACUUUUUCGUGGGGGAUAACGUAGGGAAACUUACGCUAAUACCGCAUACGACCUACGGGUGAAAGCAGGGGAUCUUCGGACCUUGCGCGAUUGAAUGAGCCGAUGUCGGAUUAGCUAGUUGGCGGGGUAAAGGCCCACCAAGGCGACGAUCCGUAGCUGGUCUGAGAGGAUGAUCGGCCACACUGGAACUGAGACACGGUCCAGACUCCUAAGGGAGGCAGCAGUGGGGAAUAUUGGACAAUGGGCGCAAGCCUGAUACAGCCAUACCGCGUGGGUGAAGAAGGCCUUCGGGUUGUAAAGCCCUUUUGUUGGGAAAGAAAAGCAGCAGGUUAAUACCCCGCUGUUCUGACGGUACCCAAAGAAUAAGCACCGGCUAACUUCGUG